RNAcentral lists this transfer RNA (77 nucleotides) under Gammaproteobacteria bacterium. RNAcentral's name for it is "tRNA-Val". It matches the Rfam family "tRNA". From Rfam's summary of the family: Transfer RNA (tRNA) molecules are approximately 80 nucleotides in length. Their secondary structure includes four short double-helical elements and three loops (D, anti-codon, and T loops). Further hydrogen bonds mediate the characteristic L-shaped molecular structure. tRNAs have two regions of fundamental functional importance: the anti-codon, which is responsible for specific mRNA codon recognition, and the 3' end, to which the tRNAs corresponding amino acid is attached (by aminoacyl-tRNA synthetases). tRNAs cope with the degeneracy of the genetic code in two manners: having more than one tRNA (with a specific anti-codon) for a particular amino acid; and 'wobble' base-pairing, i.e. permitting non-standard base-pairing at the 3rd anti-codon position. RNAcentral also lists the same sequence under 1 other name. Lineage: Bacteria; Pseudomonadati; Pseudomonadota; Gammaproteobacteria. The record is from RNAcentral.
AGUCGCAUAGCUCAGUUGGUUAGAGCACCACCUUGACAUGGUGGGGGUCGGUGGUUCGAAUCCACUUGCGACUACCA